UCCUCGCUCAAAGAAUCGCAUUCAAAGCUCACACACAGAGAGCAGUCUUCACGACUCUCUCUUUCCCCCCUCAGCUUUGGGAGAAAGUCCCCGGACAUCCUGACUGUCUAAACGUCCUCUUGUAGGGCCCAGUCAGGCAAUGCGGAAACGCGCCGCCAUAGAAGCAAUUCGAUAGCGGCUUAUACGCCCUAUUCCCCUCCUAGUGUUUGUCUCUGUACCCGAUCACUUGUCACCUUAUGGUGGCUUGUGGGUAACAAUGGUUGGUGCGGGACAGUGCUGGAGAGGGGGUUUCAUUUGGGUUGCCUUUCGUCGUGUUUGGAUAGUCAUGCGAUUGCCCGUCCUAUAUGUUUCUUCGAGCCGACCUCUCACGUCUGAAAAUAUGUCGGGGAGCGUUAGUCGGGAAAUAUUUAGGGGGUAACUCAAUGGGGCUCAUUCUUGAGGCGAGG
Non-coding RNA from Aspergillus niger, 446 nucleotides. Lineage: Eukaryota; Fungi; Ascomycota; Eurotiomycetes; Eurotiales; Aspergillaceae. The record is from Rfam.